CGGGCUGUAGCGCAGUUUGGUAGCGCACUUGGCUGGGGGCCAAGGGGUCGCCGGUUCAAAUCCGGCCAGCCCGACCA
RNAcentral lists this transfer RNA (77 nucleotides) under bacterium BMS3Bbin02. Its description in RNAcentral is "tRNA-Pro". It matches the Rfam family "tRNA". From Rfam's summary of the family: Transfer RNA (tRNA) molecules are approximately 80 nucleotides in length. Their secondary structure includes four short double-helical elements and three loops (D, anti-codon, and T loops). Further hydrogen bonds mediate the characteristic L-shaped molecular structure. tRNAs have two regions of fundamental functional importance: the anti-codon, which is responsible for specific mRNA codon recognition, and the 3' end, to which the tRNAs corresponding amino acid is attached (by aminoacyl-tRNA synthetases). tRNAs cope with the degeneracy of the genetic code in two manners: having more than one tRNA (with a specific anti-codon) for a particular amino acid; and 'wobble' base-pairing, i.e. permitting non-standard base-pairing at the 3rd anti-codon position. RNAcentral also lists the same sequence under 1 other name. The record is from RNAcentral.